UACGAAGGGGGCUAGCGUUGUUCGGAAUUACUGGGCGUAAAGGGCUCGUAGGUGGCCAACUAAGUCAGACGUGAAAUCCCUCGGCUUAACCGGGGAACUGCGUCUGAUACUGGAUGGCUUGAGUUUGGGAGAGGGAUGCGGAAUUCCAGGUGUAGCGGUGAAAUGCGUAGAUAUCUGGAGGAACACCGGUGGCGAAGGCGGCAUCCUGGACCAACACUGACACUGAGGAGCGAAAGCCAGGGGAGCAAACGGG
RNAcentral lists this ribosomal RNA (253 nucleotides) under uncultured bacterium. Its description in RNAcentral is "partial 16S ribosomal RNA". It matches the Rfam family "Bacterial small subunit ribosomal RNA", at positions 524 to 776 of the family's 1533-position model. The record is from RNAcentral.